This 947-nucleotide long non-coding RNA is filed under the name Helianthus annuus (common sunflower). RNAcentral describes it as "hypothetical non coding rna". Lineage: Eukaryota; Viridiplantae; Streptophyta; Magnoliopsida; Asterales; Asteraceae. The record is from RNAcentral.
UGUGUGUGUUUGGUCGACGUUUACACAGAGCCAGGAGAAGGGUUCUUUUCAAAACCCUAAACUCACUAAAAUCCAUCAAAAUCUAAGGGAAAUCGAGUUGGAAAUUAGGGCUUUAACUAAAUUCAUGAUCAACCAUGCUAGGAGAUCACAAGUUGACUCUAAACAAGCUAGGUGGGAGCUUGGAAAGGAACGGGUCAAACGGAUCAUGGAUGCGAAGAAUGUUUGCGCGAACGCGAGGUAAGUAAAGCUUACGCCCAAUUGUAGUAAACGUAUGUAUUUUAUAUAUGAUAAAUGUGACAACCGAUUACAUUCGAAAUUGAAGUUCCGACACUAAGCGAUGUGAGUCGGAACGAAUAAAAAUGAUCAAAACCAUGGUUAAUGGUAAAAUGGACAAAAGGGUAAUUUAGUCGUGAAUCGACUAAGAAUUUAUAAGAUUUCUUUAAGGUUACCUUAUAGCGAAACUUGAAAUGGGUCGGAUGUGUGAAGGGGAUAUUAAAAGUCAUGUUUUGACAUAAGUAUAAAUGUUUGGUCAUAAAUACCAAAUGGGUCAAAUGGUGGUGAUGACACCAUUUGACAAUAUCGACUAAUGUUUGGUUGUUAAGUUAAAUGUUCACAGGAGUGAACGGGAAGUGGAUUAUUGCGUUGCUAUAAAGUAGCGGCUAAUAAAAGAAAGGUACAAAACGGGUCUAUAUGUUGACUCGAGCCAGGUGAAUGCCAAGAGUGCCCGGAUGAAGAUCAAGCUCGAUGAGGAACCGAACACAAUAAAAUCUAACACUCGGGAUUAAAGCUUCCGCACGGCGUUACGCCAUAUCUUUUAAAUGACGAACUUAUUUAUAUUACGUUGAAAACUUUUAAGUUGUAAAAAGUUUUUUUUUGAUUACUUGUAUUUUCUAAGAAUACUUAAUCGCAAUUUCAUGUUUAUUUUCGAUAUUUAUACGAAAACCUUA